AUGACUCCUAGCCCCCGUCUCCCCGGGUCCCCAGCGGUCCGACAGAUCUUGGCUGCGGGAGGGAGAAAGAGAGACCAGGCGACUGGGCGGGCGCGGAGCGGCCGGAGCGCGAUGUCGACGGUGACGGCGGUGGUGGCGGUGGGGAGCUGGGGUCACCUUGUGAUGCGAGCGCUCCUCUGUGCCGUACCGCCUCUGGGAGGAAGCCCCAUUGCCCUCUUCUUUCUAAGCUGUCAUCCUCCUGCUGCAAUCGUCAUUACAGUACCGCUGGUGACGCCACUCGGCGAGCGCAAGUGGAUAAAUAGAAACGUCUGCCACAGCGAAGAUGAAAGGAGACCCGCAGCUAAUGGCUCGGCAGUGAUGCGCCAGAUGGCCUUAAGCUCUCCACAGCUCGGCUUGACCUCCAGGUGGCUAUUCGUAGAAGAAAUCGUUUUCCCAUUUGCCUGGGCCUCGCCUGCACUUCAGGUAUGUAGGGUGGGGAGAGGUUCUAAGAGUGGCCUUUUUUUUUUUUCUUUUUCUUGCCCCUAUUUUAAGGUAUUCGUUCAGAGGCAACGAAUUCCUCUGGAAACAGGUUUUGCGAGUGAAGAGAGACUGAGAACUGCAGUCCCUACGAGGCAGGACCAGAGGCUCCUAGCUGGGAAAAGGUGCUGUUCCCACCCAGAGACUGGGCACAGCAGUUGAGAGUGCUCCAGCACAGGGCACUGGGGCUCGCAGAGCUUUGGCUCACAUGGCUCUCCCCCAGAUCCUGCCCACAUGCUUUUGGGGUCCUGGCAGUGAAGAGAGAGAAGUCAGC
RNAcentral lists this long non-coding RNA (790 nucleotides) under Mustela putorius furo (domestic ferret). RNAcentral describes it as "lncRNA (ENSMPUG00000026066.1)". The record is from RNAcentral. Lineage: Eukaryota; Metazoa; Chordata; Mammalia; Carnivora; Mustelidae.